RNAcentral lists this ribosomal RNA (297 nucleotides) under Bacillus sp. ST1.1. RNAcentral's name for it is "partial 16S ribosomal RNA". It matches the Rfam family "Bacterial small subunit ribosomal RNA", at positions 71 to 357 of the family's 1533-position model. Lineage: Bacteria; Bacillati; Bacillota; Bacilli; Caryophanales; Bacillaceae. The record is from RNAcentral.
AGAGGGAGCUGCUCCCUGAUGUUAGCGGCGGACGGGUGAGUAACACGUGGGUAACCUGCCUGUAAGACUGGGAUAACUCCGGGAAACCGGGGCUAAUACCGGAUGGUUGUUUGAACCGCAUGGUUCAAACAUAAAAGGUGGCUUCGGCUACCACUUACAGAUGGACCCGCGGCGCAUUAGCUAGUUGGUGAGGUAANGGCUCACCAAGGCAACGAUGCGUAGCCGACCUGAGAGGGUGAUCGGCCACACUGGGACUGAGACACGGCCCAGACUCCUACGGGAGGCAGCAGUGGUCUG